This 28-nucleotide transfer RNA is filed under the name Acrocladium auriculatum. Its description in RNAcentral is "partial tRNA-Phe". RNAcentral also lists the same sequence under 16 other names. Lineage: Eukaryota; Viridiplantae; Streptophyta; Bryopsida; Hypnales; Lepyrodontaceae. The record is from RNAcentral.
GCCGGAAUAGCUCAGUUGGUAGAGCAGA